GCUGGGCUGCAGCUCAGGGAUAGAGCAUCUGCUUUGCAUGCAGAAGGUCCCAAGUUCAAUCCCCGGCAUGCUGGGCA
This is a non-coding RNA of Podarcis lilfordi (Lilford's wall lizard), 77 nucleotides long. NCBI's taxonomy places the organism in Eukaryota, Metazoa, Chordata, Lepidosauria, Squamata, Lacertidae. The record is from the annotation of a GenBank genome assembly.